UUUGCAAUAAUCUCAGUCACCAUUCUAACGUGCCUGGAAUAUAUUUGUCGAUCAAUUUUUCAUAAUAAGGCCAUAAUUGUUCAAUAUCCGGAAAGUAACUGUUGAUUGAUGGUCUAUGAAAAAAA
This is a long non-coding RNA of Polistes dominula (European paper wasp), 125 nucleotides long. The record is from RefSeq and is a predicted model, not a curated record. Lineage: Eukaryota; Metazoa; Arthropoda; Insecta; Hymenoptera; Vespidae.